CAGUCGUGAGGAAGGUAGUGUAGUUAAUAGCUGCAUUAUUUGACGUUAGCGACAGAAAAGACACCGGCUAACUCCGUGCCAGCAGCCGCGGUAAUACGGAGGGUGCGAGCGUUAAUCGGAAUUACUGGGCGUAAAGCGCAUGCAGGUGGUUUGUUAAGUCAGAUGUGAAAGACCCGGGGCGUCAACCUCGGAAUAGCAUUUGAAACUAGGCAGACUAGAGUACUGUAGAGGGGGGUAGGAAUUUCAGGUGUAGCGGUGAAAUGCGUAGAGAUCUGAAGGAAUACCGGUGGCGAAGGCGGCCCCCUCGGACAGAUACUGACACUCAGAUGCGAAAGCGUGGGGAGCAAACAGGAUUAGAUACCCUGGUAG
RNAcentral lists this ribosomal RNA (369 nucleotides) under uncultured bacterium. RNAcentral's name for it is "bacterial SSU rRNA". It matches the Rfam family "Bacterial small subunit ribosomal RNA", at positions 434 to 793 of the family's 1533-position model. The record is from RNAcentral.